UACGGGGGGGGCAAGCGUUGUUCGGAAUUACUGGGCGUAAAGGGCUCGUAGGCGGCCAACUAAGUCAGACGUGAAAUCCCCAGGCUCAACCUGGGAACUGCGUCUGAUACUGGAUGGCUUGAAUCCGGGAGAGGGAUGCAGAAUUCCAGGUGUAGCGGUGAAAUGCGUAGAUAUCCGGAGGAACACCAGAGGCGAAGGCGGCCUACUGGGUCGGUACUGACGCUGAGCCGCGAAAGCCAGGGGAGCGAACGGG
RNAcentral lists this ribosomal RNA (253 nucleotides) under uncultured bacterium. RNAcentral's name for it is "partial 16S ribosomal RNA". It matches the Rfam family "Bacterial small subunit ribosomal RNA", at positions 524 to 776 of the family's 1533-position model. The record is from RNAcentral.